RNAcentral lists this small nuclear RNA (107 nucleotides) under Sus scrofa (pig). Lineage: Eukaryota; Metazoa; Chordata; Mammalia; Artiodactyla; Suidae. The record is from RNAcentral.
GUGCUCCCUUUGGCAGCACAUGUACUAAAACUGGAAGGAUACAGAGAAAAUUAGCAUGGCCCCUGUGCAAGGAUGACUCGCAAAUUCAUGAAGUGUUCCAUAUUUUU